UCACCCCACCACAGAGAGGGAGCUCUUUCCAAAAUAUGUCUCGUGAAGCCUUACGCACUCCCCUCAGGCAUCAGCAGCUUUCACCAGCUCUUCGUUGUGUUCAUAUCCUAGGAUUUUGCCUGUCCCCACCGCUGGCUGCUGUCCUUCAGAGAACAGCUGCUGUCUGCAGGGUGCCCCUUUCGGCUGGGAGCUGUGGAAGAACGUCUUUCUCCUGCACCCAGAAUUAAUUUGCGAGGCUGCAGCUCAUACAAAUAAUUAGUGUGGUUCCUCCCUGCCCACUUCCCUUCACACUCGUUCAGCCUGAAUUUCACGAGUCUUCUGCGCCACCCUUCCUCAGGGCUCGUCUUGCUCCAGAGAUUUAUAUCAACAACGAGAAGAGUGGAGCCUUUGGGAAGGGGAAAAGCUGGAGAGCACUGAUUACCAUGGAGGGACAAGCUGGACCCGUCGGAGCCUGAGACCCAGCUCCCCCUCUGCUGCUGGCUGCUGUGAGACCUUAUAUAAAGGAUGGACUCAGCAUCUUGUAGGACUUGCUUGCGCUUUCUUGUGUGAAGGCUGAGACCGUUUGGGACGACACCCUAUACUCACCUUCUCAGAAAAGAAAUGACCUGUUGCUUCUAGAGAACAGAAGUUGCGGAUGCCAUGAGGUCUCAUGUAAGGCUGCAAGAGGGGAAGAGAGGAGGCAAGAUCCUGGCUCUCUUGAAGCCUCUAGGGACAGAAGUAUGCCAGUACAGUGGUGCACCUGAUGUUGCUUCAUUGUGUUUGGCUAUUCUCCUCCUGCGCAGCACAGGGGCUCUGAGACUUGCUGUAUCAGUUACCAGCUUUCCCAAAGGUGGGUCAAUGAGAGCAGCAUUACCGUCUGCUUUUACUGGGGUGGAUGCAGCUUAGCUUCAAUACCACUGAAUCUGGCAGGCCACAGCUGGUAAGAAAGUAGGGCAGCAGUGCAUGUCUCUGGGGCAGUGAUUGUACUUUUUCCUCAAUUACGCACUCGCUUAAUCUCAGAGGGGAAAUUACUACGUAUUUCUCAGUAAUAAAAACCGAAUCUCUCUCUGCUCUGAUUGG
This is a non-coding RNA of Struthio camelus australis, 1059 nucleotides long. The record is from RefSeq and is a predicted model, not a curated record. NCBI's taxonomy places the organism in Eukaryota, Metazoa, Chordata, Aves, Struthioniformes, Struthionidae.